UACGGAGGGGGCUAGCGUUGUUCGGAAUUACUGGGCGUAAAGCGCACGUAGGCGGCUUUGCAAGUUAGAGGUGAAAGCCCGGGGCUCAACUCCGGAAUUGCCUUUAAAACUGCAUCGCUAGAAUUGUGGAGAGGUAAGUGGAAUUCCGAGUGUAGAGGUGAAAUUCGUAGAUAUUCGGAAGAACACCAGUGGCGAAGGCGACUUACUGGACACAUAUUGACGCUGAGGUGCGAAAAGCGUGGGGAGCAAACAGG
This 254-nucleotide ribosomal RNA is filed under the name uncultured bacterium. Its description in RNAcentral is "partial 16S ribosomal RNA". It matches the Rfam family "Bacterial small subunit ribosomal RNA", at positions 524 to 776 of the family's 1533-position model. The record is from RNAcentral.